Molecule: ribosomal RNA, 1296 nt
Filed under: Triticum aestivum (bread wheat)
Lineage: Eukaryota; Viridiplantae; Streptophyta; Magnoliopsida; Poales; Poaceae
Description: partial small subunit ribosomal RNA
Source: RNAcentral
AUGGUUGAAGAACCACUCAAAAUCUAUCACACUCCUGAAGCUUUUUACUUAGAUCAUCUUCGAUCCCUAUGUGCUUGUGCUGAAACCCCAACUAGCUUAGUUAAGGGCAAAUCUUUAGAUGAGCAUGCUUGUUAUGUGCGACACCUCUUAUCUCAAAAAGGGAAACUUUUAAUGGAUCAAAUUCAUUGUUUGCAAUGCUAUGCUUGGAAUUCAUGUGAAAUAUAUGAUUUUACUUGUUUUUCUGAAGAUCCUAAGAAACACCUUCCCUACCAAUGUGAGUUUAGUGAUAAUGGAAUUGUAUCUUUGUAUGCUAAGCGAGUUUAUAAUUACUAUAAUGUUCAAAAAAUUGAAGAAUUUGCUGCUUUUAAGGGUGCUUAUGAAAUUGCUUCAUUGAUUGCAAGGUAUGAUGCUGCUCUUCACAAAUAUGAAACUUUUGCCAUACUUAAAUAUUGUUAUGGUAAUUAUGCUUCUAAUGCCUAUGUUAAACCAAAUAUUGAGUACUCCUCCACUGUCCAAGAAGAGACUAAUAUCUUGCAGGAGUCUAUGGAAGAAGAAAUUGAUGAAACUGUGAGCUCAUUGGAUGAAAAAGAUGAUGAGGAGAGAGAAGAACAAAAGGUGGAAGAUCGGAUUAGCUACCCGUUCCCACCUUGUAAUGAGAGUAACUCUCCAUCUCAUACAUUAUUUAAUGUCCCUUCGUUCUUACCGAAGGAUGAAUGCCAUGAUAAUUGCUAUGAUCCCGUUGAUUCGUUCGAAAUAUCCCUUUUUGAUGAACUUGAUGCUUGCUAUUCUUGUGGCCAAGAUGCCCAUAUGAAUUAUGCUUAUGGAGAUGAACUUGCUAUAGUUCCUUAUAUUAAACAUGAAAUUGUUGCUAUUGCACCCACGCAUGAUAGUCCUAUUAUCUUUUUGAAUUCUCCCGACUACACUAUAUCGGAGAAGUUUGUCCUUAUUAAGGAUUAUAUUGAUGGGUUGCGUUUCACUACUACAUAUGAUGAUUUUGAUAGAGAUAAUAUGCAUGUUCUUGCUGCUCCUACUUGCAAUUAUUAUGAGAGAGGAACUACAUCUCCGCCUCUCCAUGUUUCCAAUAUGAUAAAAUUGCAAGAAAUUGUUUAUAUUAUGCAUUGGGCUUUACUAUGUGUGCAUGAAUUGUUCCUUUAUGACAUGCCGAUGCAUAUGAAGAGAAUUAGACUUCGUUGUUGCAUGAUAUAUGUUACUUUGUGCUCACUACUAAAUCACAAAUCAUUGUUAAAUAAAAUUGGCUUUGAUAUACCUUGGGAUCCGGGUGGAUUCACUACUUGA